Molecule: ribosomal RNA, 193 nt
Filed under: uncultured Verrucomicrobiota bacterium
Lineage: Bacteria; Pseudomonadati; Verrucomicrobiota
Description: uncultured Verrucomicrobia bacterium partial 16S ribosomal RNA
Rfam family: Bacterial small subunit ribosomal RNA
Source: RNAcentral
CCUACGGGAGGCAGCAGUCGAGAAUCAUUCACAAUGGGCGAAAGCCUGAUGGUGUGACGCCGCGUGGAGGAUGAAGGUCUUCGGAUUGUAAACUCCUGUCAAGUGGGAGUAACGCUGCGCGUUAACUGCGUCGCAGUUUGAGAGUACCACUAGAGGAAGAGACGGCUAACUCUGUGCCAGCAGCCGCGGUAAU